Homo sapiens (human) is the source of this 266-nucleotide long non-coding RNA. RefSeq lists it as uncharacterized. The record is from RefSeq and is a predicted model, not a curated record. Lineage: Eukaryota; Metazoa; Chordata; Mammalia; Primates; Hominidae. The transcript has 2 exons.
CCCUCCUGCUUCUUGCGGACUCCUUCUGGCUGCCAAUUGCAGACACUGUUGAGCAAAUCAUCAGGGGAGCAGCAAGUGUACAGGCAGUUUGAAGAGCAGAGCCUUGGACCAGAGGAUCUCAAGUAUGUGUGCUGCAGACCCUUCUCGCUGCCUGAAGAAGUCCAGGGACUCCUCCCCAGAAUAAUGUUUUAAAUGCAUAAAAUAAAACACUUGAGAUUAUAAAGGAAACAAGCCAUAUCAAAAUAUAAUUAACAAUAUUUUUUGAA